CCUACGGGAGGCAGCAGUGGGGAAUAUUGGGCAAUGGAGGAAACUCUGACCCAGCGACGCCGCGUGCGGGAUGAAGGCCUUCGGGUUGUAAACCGCUUUCAGCAGGGAAGAAGCGAAAGUGACGGUACCUGCAGAAGAAGCACCGGCUAACUAUGUGCCAGCAGCCGCGGUAAUACAUAGGGUGCAAGCGUUGUCCGGAAUUAUUGGGCGUAAAGAGCUCGUAGGUGGUUCGUCACGUCGGAUGUGAAAAUCUGGGGCUUAACCCCAGACCUGCAUUCGAUACGGGCGAGCUUGAGUAUGGUAGGGGAGUCUGGAAUUCCUGGUGUAGCGGUGGAAUGCGCAGAUAUCAGGAGGAACACCAAUGGCGAAGGCAGGACUCUGGGCCAUUACUGACACUGAGGAGCGAAAGCGUGGGGAGCGAACAGGAUUAGAUACCCUGGUAGUCCACGCCGUAAACGGUGGGCACUAGUUGUGGGGACCUUCCACGGUCUCUGCGACGCAGCUAACGCAUUAAGUGCCCCGCCUGGGGAGUACGAUCGCAGAUUAAACUCAAAGGAAUUGACGG
Molecule: ribosomal RNA, 565 nt
Filed under: uncultured bacterium
Lineage: Bacteria
Description: bacterial SSU rRNA
Rfam family: Bacterial small subunit ribosomal RNA
Source: RNAcentral